AUUCCAGCUUCCACUAGGGAUAUAAAAUGUUGCCGUUGUAAAAACUCGUAGUGGAUCUUCGGUCCAGAGGAACGGGGCCCCCGAAGGGGGGGUUAUCACUUUGAAGACUACAAUUCAGGUAUUUCUGGGUUUUUCAACCGGGUGUCUAGAGCGAGUGCAACGGUUACUUUGAAAAAUUAGAGCGGGUCAAGCAGGGCUGUCAGCCUGGAAAGAGGUGCACAGAGAAAAAGAAGAGGGUCCUCUUAUAUUUUAUGGAGUAUGAGUGCGAUAAUGAGGGAUGGGGAUGGACGUGGGUUAUUGUCUUGCGACGUUAGAGAUGAUUUUAUUUAUGGAUGCAAGACAAUCAAACAGAAGGCACUCCCAGUAAUCACCUUCAAUCAAAAGGAAAGCGAGAGGAGCGAUCGAGAUCAGAUACGUAGGUAGUUCAGUAAGUAAAUGAACCAGCUAUCGAUCGACGGGAGUGAAUAGAUGCCUUGGGGGGCAGCUUCCAAAUAACAAAUUAUAGGGUUUUCCGGGGGAAUGAUGGCAAGAAAGAAGAAAAAAAAAAUAGUUGGAAGGGCACCACCAGGAGUGGAGCCUGCGGCUUAAUUUGAUUCAACACGGGGAAACUCUCCCCCGGCCCCAUAGGAAGGAUUGACACAGAAUAGCUCUCUCUCUUGAUUCGGUGGUUGGUGGUGCAUGGCCGUUUUUAGUUGGUGGAGCGAUUUGUCUGGUUAAUUCCGAUAACGAACGAGACUCUAACCUAAAUAACCCCAUGGAAUCUAUUGUGAACCAGACCCUUAGAGGGACUGUUGGCUAACAGCCAAUGUAGAAAGAGGCAAUACCAGUUUUGUGAUGCCCUUAGAUGUUGGGGCCCGCACCCGCGUUCCAUGGAGGGAUCCACGGAUUUCUUUCCUGGUCCGGAAAGACUGGGUAAUCUUGUGAAAUUCCGUCGUAAUGGGGAUAGAGCAUUGCAAUUAUUGCUCUUGAACGAGGAAUUCUCUAGUAAGUGCGCUCAUCAUGCUCGCGAUUCGA
RNAcentral lists this ribosomal RNA (1014 nucleotides) under Hoplolaimus sp. QT-2010. RNAcentral describes it as "partial 18S ribosomal RNA". It matches the Rfam family "Eukaryotic small subunit ribosomal RNA", at positions 582 to 1648 of the family's 1831-position model. The record is from RNAcentral. Lineage: Eukaryota; Metazoa; Nematoda; Chromadorea; Rhabditida; Hoplolaimidae.